RNAcentral lists this ribosomal RNA (301 nucleotides) under uncultured bacterium. RNAcentral's name for it is "partial 16S ribosomal RNA". It matches the Rfam family "Bacterial small subunit ribosomal RNA", at positions 509 to 809 of the family's 1533-position model. The record is from RNAcentral.
CAGUCGCCGCGGGAAUACGGAGGAUCCAAGCGUUAUCCGGAAUCAUUGGGUUUAAAGGGUCCGUAGGCGGUCUUGUAAGUCAGUGGUGAAAGCCCAUCGCUCAACGGUGGAACGGCCAUUGAUACUGCAGGACUUGAAUUAUUGGGAAGUAACUAGAAUAUGUAGUGUAGCGGUGAAAUGCUUAGAGAUUACAUGGAAUACCAAUUGCGAAGGCAGGUUACUACCAAUUGAUUGACGCUGAUGGACGAAAGCGUGGGUAGCGAACAGGAUUAGAUACCCGAGUAGUCCCUGUCUCUUAUAU